AAAAAAAACGAAAAACGAGAAAAAAAAACGAAAAAAUGAAAAAUGAAAUAAAUAAAUAAAUAAAUAAAAUAUAACAGAAUUUUUUUGGACUUGGGCCUCUCUCAUUUGAGCCCACAGGUCCACAAAAAUCAGGUUAUAAAUUCAGAGUUUCAGUGAAACAAAAGGAUUCGAUUCCUAUUACCCUGGCAGGAAAAAGAUAGUGAGAGAAGAGAUAACAGAGUUCAGAGAAACCUCCAGAGACUGAAGGGAACUCAUCUGCAAAGAACCAAUUCUCUCUCAUAUAAACCCUAAGAGUGCUUUGCAAACCCAAUCGGGCAAUUCAAUUUCAUUCGAUCUCUCC
This 340-nucleotide long non-coding RNA is filed under the name Lathyrus oleraceus (garden pea). RNAcentral describes it as "Pisum sativum (pea) long non-coding RNA (PSAT_LNC036523)". The record is from RNAcentral. Lineage: Eukaryota; Viridiplantae; Streptophyta; Magnoliopsida; Fabales; Fabaceae.